UCGAACGCGCAUCCCUUGAACUUCGGGGAGAGGGAGGGCGAGUGGCGAACGGGUGAGUAACACGUAGGAACCUGCCCUGAAGAGGGGGAAAACGGCUGGAAACGGUCGCUAAUCCCGCAUGGACUCCGCGAGGAGUAAAGCCUUGGCGCUUCAGGAAGGGCCUGCGGCCUAUCAGGUAGUUGGUGGGGUAACGGCCUACCAAGCCGAUGACGGGUAGGGGGCGUGAGAGCGCGACCCCCCACACGGGAACUGAGACACGGUCCCGACGCCUACGGGCGGCAGCAGUGAGGAAUCUUGCGCAAUGGGGGAAACCCUGACGCAGCGACGCCGCGUGCGGGAAGAAGGCCUUCGGGUCGUAAACCGCUUUUCUGUGGGACGAGGAAGGACGGUACCACAGGAAUAAGUCCCGGCUAACUACGUGCCAGCAGCCGCGGUAAAACGUAGGGGGCGAGCGUUAUCCGGAAUCACUGGGCGUAAAGGGCGUCUAGGCGGCACGUCAAGUCUUGCGUGAAAGCUCCUGGCUCAACUAGGAGAGUGCGUGGGAAACUGGCGAGCUUGAGACGUGGAGGGGUGCACGGAAUUCCCGGUGGAGUGGUGGAAUGCGUUGAGAUCGGGAGGAACACCAGAAGCGAAGGCGGUGCACUGGCCACGGACUGACGCUGAAGCGCGACAGCGUGGGGAGCGAACGGGAUUAGAUACCCCGGUAGUCCACGCCGUAAACGAUGACGACUAGGUGUGUGUAACCGAAGGGUUAUGCGUACCGCAGCAAACGCGAUAAGUCGUCCGCCUGGGGAGUACGGCCGCAAGGCUAAAACUCAAAGGAAUUGACGGGG
Molecule: ribosomal RNA, 833 nt
Filed under: uncultured bacterium
Lineage: Bacteria
Description: bacterial SSU rRNA
Rfam family: Bacterial small subunit ribosomal RNA
Source: RNAcentral